This 459-nucleotide ribosomal RNA is filed under the name uncultured bacterium. RNAcentral describes it as "partial 16S ribosomal RNA". It matches the Rfam family "Bacterial small subunit ribosomal RNA", at positions 338 to 795 of the family's 1533-position model. The record is from RNAcentral.
CCUACGGGAGGCAGCAGUGAGGAAUAUUGGUCAAUGGUCGGGAGACUGAACCAGCCAAGCCGCGUGAGGGAUGAAGGUACAGAGUAUCGUAAACCUCUUUUGUCAGGGAACAAAGGCGGGGACGUGUCCCCGGCUGAGUGUACCUUAAGAAAAAGCAUCGGCUAACUCCGUGCCAGCAGCCGCGGUAAUACGGAGGAUGCGAGCGUUAUCCGGAUUUAUUGGGUUUAAAGGGUGAGCAGGCGGUCUGUUAAGUCAGCGGUCAAAGCCCGGGGCUCAACCCCGGCCCGCCGUUGAAACUGGCAGUCUCGAGUUGGAGAGAAGUAUGCGGAAUGCGCGGUGUAGCGGUGAAAUGCAUAGAUAGCGCGCAGAACUCCGAUUGCGAAGGCAGCAUGCCGGCUCCACACUGACGCUGAGGCACGAAAGCGUGGGUAUCGAACAGGAUUAGAUACCCGUGUAGUC